Long non-coding RNA from Monomorium pharaonis (pharaoh ant), 383 nucleotides. RefSeq lists it as uncharacterized. The record is from RefSeq and is a predicted model, not a curated record. Lineage: Eukaryota; Metazoa; Arthropoda; Insecta; Hymenoptera; Formicidae. The transcript has 2 exons.
AAGAAAGAAAAUGUACAAUACAUUCCAAUGUAAAAUAUUAAUUAUUUAUUUUUAAGUUAUAAAAGUAAUUGUUAGAACAUAAAUAAAAGUAAUAAAAAUCAAUCUAAUUCAUAAUUUGCAGGAAAAAAACCAAUGUGAGACAACAAAGAAUAUUUUGCAAUAUACAGAUGUCAAUAUACAAUUUUGCAAUAUACAUAUGUUUUAUAAUAUAUGUAAUUUUUAGUUGUUUGUUUAUUUAUAUAAACGGAUUGUAUUGACACUUAUACUAUGACAAUCAGCCAUGCAGUUUCUGACAAAUUAAACAAGAAAAUUGUCCUGAAGAUCUAGCGAGAAAAUGAUAAAAAUUGUAACAUAAAGAAUAAAGCGGAUGAUUAGCUUUCAAA